CAAAAACUUGUUUGAAGAACAGGUCGGAUUCGAUUAUCCAGAGUCAGGUUCUGACGUUUUCCAAAAUAAUAUCUCGCAAACGGAAUGCUGUAGGAAGCUGAAAUUUGGACUGAUCACUAAUCAAAGUUGGCUUGAUAAAACGUCAAAAUUUCAGCUUUAUAGAGCAUCCUGUUCUCCAGAUAUACAAGCAAAGAAUUUAGAGCUAUUCAAAACUAUGUUAAUUUUUGUUGGAUCAAAUAACGUUUUUUUAUUGUUUUAAAAAAGUUAUUAGUUAAAACAACUUAGAUUUGUUUUAAAACAAAGCGCAAAUAUUUUUUAUUUUUUGAGCACAUGACGUGCCACCGCCAUUUUGUUUUCGAAAAUAAACAGCAGAAGUGAAGAUGAUUGCACCAAAAGUAGUCAGCAUUUAAGCAGUGGAUAAUUAUUCCAAGUACUUCGUUGUUCUAUUGUAGGCUUAGUUCUAAGAAUCUGCACUCCAAAACACGAAUGCCGGGUAAACGGACCGUCACAGAGACUGCUAGAAGACCUCCCACAUUAUAUGAACAACCAAUCUGCAUCAUGUUGCAAGAAAACAGAAACUACAUAUAAAAUAAUCAUCAAAAAUAAAAUAAACAAUAAAUUUGUUUUUUUCUUUUUUGAUGCACAAAACAAAUAAACAUAGCAUUCCAAUAAAUAAAAUUCAAUUUGAUUUAAUGCGAAAUGCUUCUCCAACAAAUGAAUGUAAAGCAUUCAUUUUGGUGUUACAAAAGAUAUAGAACAU
Long non-coding RNA from Aedes albopictus (Asian tiger mosquito), 760 nucleotides. RefSeq lists it as uncharacterized. The record is from RefSeq and is a predicted model, not a curated record. The transcript is spliced from 3 exons. Lineage: Eukaryota; Metazoa; Arthropoda; Insecta; Diptera; Culicidae.